GGUGGUAAUGCCGGAUGCUCCGACUCCUCGCAUGGGGUGUCGGGAAAGAUUUCAUCGGUAUGGGAUGGGGUCGCGUCCUAUCAGGUAGUCGGCGGGGUAACGGCCCACCGAGCCUACGACGGGUAGCCGGCCUGAGAGGGCGACCGGCCACAUUGGGACUGAGAUACGGCCCAGACUCCUACGGGAGGCAGCAGUGGGGAAUAUUGCACAAUGGGCGCAAGCCUGAUGCAGCGACGCCGCGUGCGGGAUGACGGCCUUCGGGUUGUAAACCGCUUUUGAUCGGGAGCAAGCCUUCGGGUGAGUGUACCUUUCGAAUAAGCACCGGCUAACUACGUGCCAGCAGCCGCGGUAAUACGUAGGGUGCAAGCGUUAUCCGGAAUUAUUGGGCGUAAAGGGCUCGUAGGCGGUUCGUCGCGUCCGGUGUGAAAGUCCAUCGCUUAACGGUGGAUCUGCGCCGGGUACGGGCGGGCUGGAGUGCGGUAGGGGAGACUGGAAUUCCCGGUGUAACGGUGGAAUGUGUAGAUAUCGG
This 529-nucleotide ribosomal RNA is filed under the name Bifidobacterium catenulatum. Its description in RNAcentral is "bacterial SSU rRNA". It matches the Rfam family "Bacterial small subunit ribosomal RNA", at positions 159 to 700 of the family's 1533-position model. RNAcentral also lists the same sequence under 1 other name. The record is from RNAcentral. Lineage: Bacteria; Bacillati; Actinomycetota; Actinomycetes; Bifidobacteriales; Bifidobacteriaceae.